ACUCCACAAAAGCAGUCAAAUUUUAUUUGGAUCACCUUUCAACUUGAGAAAAAGAAACACAAACUGCAAGUGUUGGGCAUAUCUGAUCCAUAUAACAUUACAGCAUCCGCCGCCGCAUUUCUACCGUUAAAAACCAUCAGUUUACCGUUUACCUUGUGGGGAAUCCUCACCUAACACACCCCAGUCUCUCCUCCUCGAUUAGUGAAUCCGAAAGCACAACAACCAUCUAGCAUUUCCAGCAACUCAAAGUAACAGCUUGUUGUUGCUUACUGGUCGGCAGGCAGCGGAAAAUAACUUCAUUUUUGCCCUCCAAGGGAGCGUUUUCCUUGGAAUGUGACGUCAUGUGAAAACUAUGAAUUGGACAUUCUGGUCAAGGCUUCACUCUCCGUUGUUUAUUUGGUAAAACGCCAAAGGAGGAGCUACAGUAAGCUGGUGCGACUGCAACGAAGAGGACGCUGCUACCGGGAAUAUUUCUCUCUGAUGUGCGCUCGCUGUGCAAUAAACUGGACAAACUUUCGGCUACUGGUGGGGAAAACAGAGACUUCUGUUCUGUGCUUCACAGAGAUGUGGCUUUGUGGAUCGAUACCGGACUACGCACUUAAGCUGGCUGGAUUCCAACUCUAUAGAGCGGACCGCGACACAGAGCUCUCUGUUGGUAGAGCGGACAUUCCCGGACACACUUAGUUAUUGUUCUUGGUGACCACGUUAUGGUCCACUUAAUUCCUUCAUACAGGCAGAAAUUAAAGCUCCGUAAACCUGUGGUGAGGACUUCUAAGCAGUGGACCAGUGAAGCUGUAGAGGACCUUCAGGUGUCUUUGGACUGUUCUGACUGGGAUGUUUCAGGACUGCUACCAAUAGUCUGGAUGAGUAUACAGAGGGUGUGAUGUCCUACAUCAGCUUCUGUGAAGACAACUGUGAACCAUCCUUAAAGGCGGGUAGCUCCACCUCAGAGAGGGAUGUCAACAGACUGUUCAUGAGGCAGAAACCUCGCAAAGCCGCUGGGCCGGACUCUGUCUCCCCAUCCACCCUGAAUCACUGUGCUGAUCAGCUGUCUCCGGUGUCAUCCCGGCCCUGCUGCAGAACAAGCUCUCCCAGCUGAGAACUACCAACAGGCACUUUAGCCACCAGGAUUUAUUUAAUAUAAACAUAUUGCAUGAAAUUAAAUUGUUGUUUUCUUUUCAACAGGAAGUCGAGAUGAAACGGAUUGUACAGAGUUCACGACUACUUCCUGCCCUGCACUGAGGGAACUUUCAUGAAUCAGCCUACUGGACAUAAACAAUGUUUUGCCUGUACAACUGUGUUGCAGGUGAUGUCCCUGUCCCCUGAUUUUACUCUCACUUCAUCCCAAAUCUCAGUGAGAGGACGUCUUCAGCCCAUGAAAGCUGUGAUUCUGCUGUACAAAAUGAUGUUUAGAAGAAAACCUCUGGCACCUGCAGCAUUGAUGAUACUUGUGAUGAAUGUCUUGAGAGGACACAGCCUCCCAUGUCAUCGAGGAGAGUAUGAGAUAGGGGAGGAAUGCUGCCCUGUUUGUCCUGCUGGAAGUCGAGUUAAAACAGAUUGUACAGAGUUCACAAGUACUUCCUGUCUGCCCUGCACUGAGGGAACCUUCAUGAAUCAGCCGACUGGACGUAAACAAUGUUUCCCCUGUUCAACCUGUGUUGCAGGUUCUGGUUUGAAGAUAAAGACGUCAUGUACAACAACAUCAGAUGCAGUUUGUGAACCACUGGAGGGAUUCUACUGUCUGGACUCUACAGAGGACAGCUGUAUGACAGCACAGAGACACACAAGCUGUCAACCAGGACAAUACAUCAGUCAGAAAGGGUCGUGGGGGGCUGGAGCCAAUCCCAGCUGACAUCGGGCGAAAGGAACAGCAUUCACAGACACAAAGUGCUCUGACUGCAGCGUUGGAACAUUUUCAGAUGGGACAUUUACGUCCUGUCAGCCGCACACACAAUGUGAAUCAAUAAACCUGAAAGCAGGAACUGCUUCAACCGAUGCUGAAUGUGG
RNA transcript from Micropterus salmoides (largemouth bass), 2007 nucleotides. It is a transcript of the gene named tumor necrosis factor receptor superfamily member 14-like, with no coding region annotated. The transcript is spliced from 8 exons. The record is from RefSeq and is a predicted model, not a curated record. NCBI's taxonomy places the organism in Eukaryota, Metazoa, Chordata, Actinopteri, Centrarchiformes, Centrarchidae.